This 1400-nucleotide long non-coding RNA is filed under the name Triticum aestivum (bread wheat). RNAcentral's name for it is "long non-coding RNA (TAES_LNC025944)". Lineage: Eukaryota; Viridiplantae; Streptophyta; Magnoliopsida; Poales; Poaceae. The record is from RNAcentral.
AUUAUCAGUAAAAUCCACAUAGGUCAGAAAUACAUAGGAAUUCCAAAAAAAGGGCUAGUGCGGAAUAAAUAGAAAGACACAAAUAGUCAUUUCUGGAUAGAACUGAGGGGAAAAAACAAAACAAAAAUGUCUCGCAUACAUAGACUAAGUAUAUUCUCGCAGGCAUGUUCCUAAGUAUAUAUCUAAUAACAAAGAUGUGAUGUCGAUCAAUUAAACAGAAGUUAAUAGUAGUAGGUUGUCUGUAAAGUCAAGUGACCAUGUUGUUUCUUUCCUUGGAAUAAAAGAUGGUGUAAUCUUCUCCAUGGUCUUUAGUCUUCAGCUUUCAACCAUUGUAUAUGACAUUUGGUUGAUCUGCACUUCAAUUGAUAGAUUCGUAAAGCCUUGUAUUACAGUUACCGACUUAGUGUGUACUGCUCCAAUAGACAUGGGAAGUCACAAGCAGCUGUAUUUCUCUGGAAGAACAAAACAAGCCUCUCAAAUUGACAAAGAGGGGGGAGAGCUGCAUCUCAUAGCUACAUAGAGGAAAUCCGGAUCAUGGCUGCUCAGUUCGAAGUGGAUAUUAACAAACAGAAAAAGGAGAAGUUAUCACAGCAUCUGUCAAGCUGCAACAUUAGCUUGCUAAUGUUUAUUAGGUAUGCAACACAUAACAUACUUUAAGCCUCAAGCCAUCAACAAUUCCAAGUCCAGGAAUUAUAUGAGCAUCAAUAGUACUAAGUAUAUUGCUCUCAUGUGUAGAAUAUUCAUCUUGAAAGGAAAAAACUAAGCAUAGUGCGCGAAUAUGCAAAUAGAAUGGAAGGAUAGGGAAUAACACAUUUCUCACCAUUCGUCUUGCAUACUGAAUGUGUUUUCAAUGUCAGCAAACUUGCGGUUCUCGGAGAUCAAAAGGUUGCGCUUCUCAGCAAUCUUCAAAAAGAGUUCAUAAGAUCCCAUUAUAUAAAGGAUGCUGAAUUUGCAUAUUCAAUAGUGAACAACUCUGGUAACUAAAUAAAGGAGGCAUCUACCCAUAAUCAUAAGAGAAUUACAUCCUGUACUUGCUAAACUGAUCCUUCUCCUAGUAGUUGGCGUCCCCCCCCCUCCAUAAACAUGGCAGAAAUCAUCCAUCAACAGAGCUUAAAACAGGAUGGGAGGUGAAAAAAGCUCGUCAAGUUGAACCCACAAGCAUGGACGCUAUACGAUAUUAGAAGAAAAAGCAUGGAAAAUUUCAUAGCUAGUAGAGCAGGAGCAUUGCUACUCAAACCUAAAAAAAUUGAGGAUUGCAACUCAGAUCUAAUAAAAAGUUCACAGCAUUGAAGUUCAUAUGAACAUCAAUUCACUGUAACUACCUUUCUGGGCGGGUCACCUCGCUCUCGUGUAAACCGCAGCCACCGCCCAACGUCGCCGCCUUCCUCUUCUCUCCUGAG